GUCCACGCCGUAAACGAUGGGCACUAGGUGCUUGGGGGAGCGACCCCCUGAGUGCCGCCGCUAACGCAUUAAGUGCCCCGCCUGGGGAGUACGGCCGCAAGGCUGAAACUCAAAGGAAUUGACGGGGGCCCCGCACAAGCGGUGGAGCAUGUGGUUUAAUUCGACGCAACGCGAAGAACCUUACCUAGGCUUGACAUACACGGGAAACUUGCCAGAAACGGCAGGCCCUCUUCGGAGCCCGUGCACAGGUGCUGCAUGGCUGUCGU
Molecule: ribosomal RNA, 266 nt
Filed under: uncultured bacterium
Lineage: Bacteria
Description: partial 16S ribosomal RNA
Rfam family: Bacterial small subunit ribosomal RNA
Source: RNAcentral